UGAGGAAUAUUGGUCAAUGGGCGGAAGCCUGAACCAGCCAAGUCGCGUGAGGGACUAAGGCCCUGCGGGUCGUAAACCUCUUUUGCCGGGGAGCAGUGGUCCGGACGCGUCCGGACCGGGAGAGUACCCGGAGAAAAAGCAUCGGCUAACUCCGUGCC
RNAcentral lists this ribosomal RNA (158 nucleotides) under uncultured bacterium. RNAcentral's name for it is "partial 16S ribosomal RNA". It matches the Rfam family "Bacterial small subunit ribosomal RNA", at positions 355 to 509 of the family's 1533-position model. The record is from RNAcentral.